UCCGUAGGUGAACCUGCGGAAGGAUCAUUAUUGAAUUCGAUCUUCGGAUCUUAUAACAUAAUAACAACACUGUGAACCGUGGCUUCGGCCCAAACUUGAAGUCUUGAAUGUAAUAUAUCAUAACAAAAUACAACUUUUAACAACGGAUCUCUUGGCUCUCGCAUCGAUGAAGAACGCAGCGAAAUGCGAUAAGUAAUGUGAAUUGCAGAAUUCAGUGAAUCAUCGAAUCUUUGAACGCACCUUGCGCCCUCUGGUAUUCCGGAGGGCAUGCCUGUUUGAGUGUCAUGAACACCUCACCCCCUCGGGUUUUUCCGAUCGGGUGGAUUUGGGUGCUGCCAGUUACAUGGCUCGCCUUAAAAGCAUUAGCGGUUGUUGACGUAAUAAGUUUCGUCUUGUCGACCGCUUCUAAUCUCCUUCGGGAUGUCUUUUAGACACUUCAUGAUCUGACCUCAAAUCAGGUAGGACUACCCGCUGAACUUAAGCAUAUCAAUAAGCGGAGGA
RNAcentral lists this ribosomal RNA (501 nucleotides) under Cryptococcus sp. TP-Snow-Y45. Its description in RNAcentral is "eukaryotic LSU rRNA". The stretch from base 132 to 285 matches the Rfam family "5.8S ribosomal RNA". Lineage: Eukaryota; Fungi; Basidiomycota; Tremellomycetes; Tremellales; Cryptococcaceae. The record is from RNAcentral.